CCUGUUCCUGGGGGGACCUGGGCCCAGCAGGCACGCCAGGAGUCUCGCCCACAGCGGGAGAUAAACAACACUGCUAGGAAUAUAUUCUGAUUUGGUUAUCGCUUAAUGUACCAGUCGCCAAGCCCUGUAGAGAUGUUUAAGAGUAAUUUAUUGAAAAGAAGAAACUUGGUCGUUAAGCUUCUCAGUCGUCUGAAUUAAAGGGUUGUCUAAAAUGUGCCACACCAACCCCUGUUUGCCCCCCACCCCCCCCCCCCCCACCACUACCACUCCAUAAUCGCCCACGACAUUCGACUCUCCAUUCUAAUUCACCCUUUCAUGUCAACUUGCCACCCUGCCCAAAACAAUCAACCACGAUUGACCAUAUUGAACCAUUGGGGUGGGAAGGGGUUUAAAGAAAGACACUUUUGUUUCAAAGUUCUCCAUGGAUCUGCUGCAGUCUAUCUUGCUAACCUCUUGUUUUAGUUGAUUCUCUUUCCCCCGACCCUCUGCUCGAUCAACCGAAGACUUUCCGACUACAUCACUCGUCAACCUCAAAUCAUUGGGUGAGUUGUUCAUUCUCCACCGAUGUUCCUGACAUCAGCAACUUCCUCCUCCUUGACCUUCUUCUUUGGUAUGGAUUAAUAACAGCAGAUUAAAGAUGUAAUUUUGUAUUUGUUAUCCACUCAAUGUUUUGUUCACACGCAAAGUGGACAUCGUGCAUUCCUCCUUUAAAUGAGUGAAGACAGCAACGGGGUGUUUACGAUGCGGUCGAUGGUUUGCCAUUCGUGGCCACACUCGCAGACUGCCGAAUCUUUGAUGCGCCACUUGUGCAUCAGGUCGCCAUGUCUGCUUUGUUACUGCAUCCCUUGGCGCAAAUCCUUGCUCAAGAUGUUGAUCUUUUUUGGUCUUGAGUUUAUUUUGAUUCGUUACAUGGAUUAUAUUCAAGUUUAGCCGGUUGUCCGGCUAUUUUACAAAGGAGAUCCAUGCUGCGUGCUUUGUUUUGUCCGUCAUUCUUACUGCACUAUAACCAUAUCAUCAUUGUUGACGCGUGCCUCUCAAUGAACUUACCCUGCAACUAUAUAGUGUGCUGAGAUAUGACAUUUCGAGGCUAUAUAGAUUGUAAUAUUGUUUCAGUAUACUAUAUGUAAGAAGUGUUGUUCAAUCCGAGAGUUUUUCCAUGCAGCGAAUAACGUUUUUUAUUUCCUUGCUAGAUGACAUGGUCCACCUAUCAUGGUUGUGGUUUCACAUGUACAAGUCCGUUCACAAAUGUAUGAAGGACUCCCCACACCGUGACGUUCAUGGAGGAUGCUUUGACCGUACCUCACCACGCCGCCACUGGGCCUCGGCCUCAGUAAAUCGCCAUGGUGGUGGGAGGAGGAGGAGGAGCUCUUUAUGGAAUGAUAUUUUCCCUGCUCCUGUCUCUUUUCAUGAUGGGAUGUUUCCUCUUGCAGUGUAUUCUUCUCAAAAAGGAAAAGCAGGCAAGGCUGCGUUGGCUGGGUCAUAUAGCCCGCAUGCCCAGCCAC
This is a long non-coding RNA of Petromyzon marinus (sea lamprey), 1502 nucleotides long. RefSeq lists it as uncharacterized. The record is from RefSeq and is a predicted model, not a curated record. Lineage: Eukaryota; Metazoa; Chordata; Hyperoartia; Petromyzontiformes; Petromyzontidae.